AGCUCCAAUAGCGUAUAUUAAAGUUGUUGCAGUUAAAAAGCUCGUAGUCGGAUUUCGGGUCGGGCCGAGCGGUCUGCCGAUGGGUAUGCACUGUUUGGCGCGGCCUUCUUUCCGGAGACCGCGGCUACUCUUAACUGAGCGGGCGUGGGAGACGGAUCGUUUACUUUGAAAAAAUCAGAGUGUUUCAAGCAGGCAGCUCGCUCUUGCAUGGAUUAGCAUGGAUAAUUGAAUAGGACUGCAUGGAUAAUUGCAUGGAUAAUUGAAUAGGACUCUGGUGCUAUUUUGUUGGUUUCGAACACCGGAGUAAUGAUUAACAGGGACAGUCAGGGGCACUCGUAUUCCGUCGAGAGAGGUGAAAUUCUCAGACCAAUGGAAGACGAACCACUGCGAAAGCAUUUGCCAGGGAUGUUUUCA
This 414-nucleotide ribosomal RNA is filed under the name uncultured eukaryote. RNAcentral describes it as "SSU rRNA". It matches the Rfam family "Eukaryotic small subunit ribosomal RNA", at positions 587 to 972 of the family's 1831-position model. The record is from RNAcentral.